RNAcentral lists this transfer RNA (73 nucleotides) under Planctomycetaceae bacterium. RNAcentral describes it as "tRNA-Ile". It matches the Rfam family "tRNA". From Rfam's summary of the family: Transfer RNA (tRNA) molecules are approximately 80 nucleotides in length. Their secondary structure includes four short double-helical elements and three loops (D, anti-codon, and T loops). The record is from RNAcentral. RNAcentral also lists the same sequence under 1 other name. Lineage: Bacteria; Pseudomonadati; Planctomycetota; Planctomycetia; Planctomycetales; Planctomycetaceae.
GGGGGUAUAGCUCAAUGGUCAGAGCACACGACUCAUAAUCGUUAGGUUGAAGGUUCGAAUCCUUCUACCCCUA